This 337-nucleotide ribosomal RNA is filed under the name uncultured bacterium. Its description in RNAcentral is "bacterial SSU rRNA". It matches the Rfam family "Bacterial small subunit ribosomal RNA", at positions 28 to 366 of the family's 1533-position model. The record is from RNAcentral.
GAUGAACGCUGGCGGCGUGCUUAACACAUGCAAGUCGAACGUGAGGGUGCAGCGAUGUGCCUGAAAGUGGCGAACGGGUGAGUAACACGUAGAUGACCUGCCCUGGAGUGGGGGAUAACCAUUGGAAACGGUGGCUAAUACCGCAUACAUCCGGAGAACUGGGAAGUUUUCUGGGGAAAGCUCUGGUGCUUCAGGAGGGGUCUGCGUCCGAUUAGCUAGUUGGUGGGGUAAAGGCUCACCAAGGCGACGAUCGGUAGCUGGUCUGAGAGGACGAUCAGCCACACGGGAACUGAGACACGGUCCCGACUCCUACGGGGGCGAGCAGUGAGGAAUAUGG